GAGUGGCGAACGGGUGAGUAAUGCAUCGGAACGUGCCCAAUAGUGGGGGAUAACGUGUGGAAACGCACGCUAAUACCGCAUACGUCCUACGGGAGAAAGCAGGGGAUCUUCGGACCUUGCGCUAUUGGAUGAGCCCAAGUCAGAUUAGCUAGUUGGUGAGGUAAUGGCUCACCAAGGCGACGAUCUGUAGCUGGUCUGAGAGGAUGAUCAGCCACACUGGGACUGAGACACGGCCCAGACUCC
RNAcentral lists this ribosomal RNA (243 nucleotides) under uncultured bacterium. RNAcentral describes it as "partial 16S ribosomal RNA". It matches the Rfam family "Bacterial small subunit ribosomal RNA", at positions 93 to 339 of the family's 1533-position model. The record is from RNAcentral.